UCCNGUAAAGUGUCCUGUGUGAUAAUCAAG
Molecule: non-coding RNA, 30 nt
Filed under: Mus musculus (house mouse)
Lineage: Eukaryota; Metazoa; Chordata; Mammalia; Rodentia; Muridae
Source: RNAcentral